CAGUAGCCGCGGGAAUACGGAGGGUGCAAGCAUUAAUCGGAAUUACUGGGCGUAAAGCGUGCGUAGGCGGUUCGUUAAGUCUGUUGUGAAAGCCCCGGGCUCAACCUGGGAAUGGCAAUGGAUACUGGCGAGCUAGAGUGUGUCAGAGGAUGGUGGAAUUCCCGGUGUAGCGGUGAAACGCGUAGAGAUCGGGAGGAACAUCAGUGGCGAAGGCGGCCAUCUGGGACAACACUGACGCUGAGGCACGAAAGCGUGGGGAGCAAACAGGAUUAGAUACCCCUGUAGUCCCUGUCUCUUAUAC
This 301-nucleotide ribosomal RNA is filed under the name uncultured bacterium. Its description in RNAcentral is "partial 16S ribosomal RNA". It matches the Rfam family "Bacterial small subunit ribosomal RNA", at positions 509 to 807 of the family's 1533-position model. The record is from RNAcentral.